This 6696-nucleotide long non-coding RNA is filed under the name Sus scrofa (pig). RNAcentral's name for it is "lncRNA (ENSSSCG00040012280.1)". The record is from RNAcentral. Lineage: Eukaryota; Metazoa; Chordata; Mammalia; Artiodactyla; Suidae.
GCUGCUAUGAACAUAGGGGUGCAUGUAUCUUUUUGAUACAAUUCUAUAAUUUAAGAUUAAUAAUUACAUUUUAGGAAAAGAAAACCAUUAAUGUCAGUGGUAGCAUCACUGCUAUUCAGUUGAACCAUAAGAAACUGCCAAUAAUCAGCUGUUUUUUGACAUAUAAAAUAACAGUUUUAUAUGGUUAAACUUAACACAUGCCAUGUUUUCUGCAGUUACCCCCUGAAUAUGAUCCAGUGCAUUUGGUAUAGGUUUCUGAGUAAGCUGGAGAAAGCUAUAGAAACUAACAAGUAACCCAAUUGUCCCACUUCACAUACAACUAACUAAAGUUGAAGUUAUUUCCUUUAAAGGGAGGUCACUUAAACUGAUUGCCAGAUUUUAACUGUUCAGUUGUGAUAUCAUGAUUCUUAUCAAUACAUCACAGCAAGUAACAUUCUAAGUGAAUAGAAUUAGCUCUCCUUAGUUCUCCUGGAGAAAAAUAAAAUCUCUUUGCUUCUGCCACCUUGUUGCCAAUUUCAUUUUCCUGCUUUGCUAGUUUUCAAUAGAAGAAUUUCUAUGAUUUUAUGAAGACUUUGCUUUUCCAGAAAAAAAAGUAUUUGGACCCAUGGCUUAAAGGACUUGCUUCUUUUCAGGACGCCAGGCAAAAAGGUUAACUGGUAAGAAAUCUAUAUUUGGUUUAAAAAGUGUGUAAAUUCAGUACCUGUUGUGCCCUAAGCCCAGGAGGAAACAGAAAACAGAAGAAUGGGAUCCAGUUCCUUCCCUUUAGAGCUCAGUCAGUGUCUGGUGCAGGAAUGAUCAAGACAAUCACCUGAGGCAAAGCUAUGAGCAAAAGUCCAAAGGGAUUUUGGAAGGGACUCACUCCGAAUGCAGCCAGCCGAUCCCAAGCUUUCUUGUGGAACUCUGGUGUUACUUGUAAGCUCUUUUUUUUGUUGUUCUGUUUUGUGUUUUGCUUUUUUUUUUUUUUUUCCCCUCCUGAUGGUACGACCUUGUCUUCAGACUCCCUACUCUUCACUUUUCGUGGACACUCAGAAAAGACUAGUCGGUUCCCAAGAAGGGUGACCUGGAACAGUCUCUUUCCCCAGAAGAUAGAAUAGCUCAGUGUGGGAGUUCCCGUUGUAGCUCAGCCGGUUAAGAACCCGACAUAGGGUCCAUGAGGAUGCAGGUUCCCAGGCUAGGGAUUGAAUUAGACCUAUAGCUGCCAGUCUAUACCACAGCCACAGCAACACAGGAUCUGAGCCAUGUCUGCGACCUACCCCACAGCCUCAUGGCAACACCAGAUCCUUAGCCCACUGAACGAGGCCAGGGAUCGACCCCGCAACCUCAUGGUUCCUAGUCGGAUUCAUUUCCGCCGUACCAGACGGAACUCCCUGAGCUAUUUUUUAUCAACAGUGUACUCUCGGGGCCUAGGCAUAGUAAGCCAACAAUGACUGUGAAUGACUAAGUCGAUCAAAAGAAUAGAAUAUGACCAGCUCCCAUUAGUGGACCACUUACUAUGUGCCAAGCACUGUGCCAGGCUCUUUGCAUAAGUAAUUCCACCAGAGGAGUUCCCAUGGUGGCUCAGCAGGUUGAGGACCCAAUGCUGUCUCUGUGAGGAUGCAGGUUUGAUUCCUGGCCUCCCUCGGUGGGUGAAGGAUCCAGCAUUGCUGCAAGCUGCAGCAUAGUUUGCAGAUAUGGCUUGGAUCUGACGUUGCCAGCAGCUGUAGCUCCAACUUGACCCAUGGCCCAGGAACUUUCACAUGCCACAGGUACAACCAUCAAAAUAAAAAUAAUAAUAAUGAUAAUAAAUAAUAAUUCCAUCAGACUGGUGGAACCAUUGAUGGUACCAGUGAUCAUGCCAUUACACUGAUGCUAUGAAGCAGAUUUUCUUUAUUUUUCAAAUGAGAGCCAGCCUAUGGCAAAAUUGCUCUGUGGAUAAUCUUUAUCUUUGGAUAAAUAUCUGGACCCAAGGGGUCCAGAAUCCAACACUUUUUUUUAAUGGCCACACCUGCGGCAUAUGGAAGUUCCCAGGCCAGGGAUGGAACCCGAGCCCCUGCCGUCAGAUUCCCACCGCAGUGGGAACUCCCAGAAUUCAACACCUUUGAUUCUUCCCCCUCUGCCCAAACUGUCUAACCCCCUCCCCAAGCCUGAUGCUGUCAGUACCAUUGGAAUAAACUGAUCCUAAAGGAUGAGCAGCUGAGAGUCCCAGAUGGACCUCUGGGUAACCUGGGCCCACGUGUACGAGGUACUUGCUGAAUUUUCGUGAGGGAAUCUGGAGACAACAUUCACUGGGCUCCUUGGUUUUCUUACCUUAGGGACCCCUCAGGUUGUGGUGGAAAUUUCAAACUAGAAAAGAAGGGAACGGGUUUCUGCUUUCACCCCUUCCCCUGCCCUAGGUGGGCAGAGAACUCAACCUCUUUUGGGGGGACUCCUUAUUUAUCGAGAUGUCUUGCUCAGAGUCCCUCUUCCAGAAAGGGCUCGUUCCCCUUUCAAGAAAGCUGUGAGGCAUGUGGCGCCUCGCAGCCUCCACUGACAACCGGUUCAGAUGGCCCUCCACUCCUGAGCCGAGCUAGUGGUGUCCUUGGGGCAGCCCAUCCAGUGACUGCGCGAGACUGUGGUACAAGGUCCCAUCCAUUUCUGCCUAAGCCGGGACUCUCAGAGUUCCCAGGGGGUCUGACAGAGGCCGUCUCAGAUCCCUUUUCCCUUUCUCAAGUGUCCCUCCCAGUAAGCUUUUCACACUCCUAAAUCUGCCUUAGUAUCUCCUUUCCGGGGACCCAGAUGGUACCGAUGGGAUGCUCUUAGCUCCAAGCAACCUCCCUCGGUGAAGGGAGUGCAUAUUUUAGAACUGAAUUUGAGCCAGUACCAGCAGAAUAUGUAAUCACCCUGGAUGCUAGGGACCAAGGAAUACUUCCAUUCUGGCACAUGAAUCACAUCAGCUUUAUUUCUUGCUAUUCAUCUUGGCACGGACUGGGUCUUGGUGUUAUAUAACACGGCCUGACUUGUUGCUCCCGGCUUUCUCAAUGAGCGAUUUGUUCAAUUCAGAGUGUGACUAAAGACAAGGUCACUAAGUCCGUUUCUAGCCAGCCAGUUAGUUUCAAAUCCAGUUGCCUGUUACAAAUGGAUUGUUAUCUGGUCAUAUAUGGACUCCAGAAGCCCCUCGCCCACACUGAGUCAUGACUUAGGUUAGUCGUUUCCCAGCCACCUGGCAGACUGUUACCUUUCCCAUGGGUCAUUUAUAAAAUGCACUAUAGUCUGGGGUUGGGUAAGUAAGUCUUUUUUUGGGGGGGAGGGGGUUCUUUUAAGGGCUGCACCUGCAGCAUAUGGAAGUUCCUGGGGUGGGGUCGAAUCGGAACUGCAGCUGCCAGCCCAUGCCACAGCCAGGGCAACUAAGGAUCUGAGCCGCAUCUACACUUCCACCACAGCUUGCAGCAAUGCCAAAUCCUUAACCCACUGGGUGAGGCCAGGGAUCAAACUCGCAUCCUUAUGGUUACGAGUCGGGGUCUUAACCCACUGAGUCACAACAGGAACUUCCAAGGGUGAGGAAGUCUAAUGUGGUUGGUGAUCAGGUACUUAACUUGUGACCACAGGUGGAAGAGAAUAGUUUUUGCUUUUCUGGGGUGUGGAAGCAUCUCCCAAUUCCUUAUUAGAAGAGCAAUACUCCCCCAAACUACCCAUCCUUCCAUCCAUUCAUCCAUCAAACAUUCAUCCACCGAGAGAGUUGCUCCUUGGCCUUCACUUCAUCACACUUGCAGCUGCAUCCUUAGUGCCACAUUUUGGGGAAAUCUACAUGCAGCUUUUUCAGUAGUAACUCUCACCUCUGGGGUUUAAAUUGUCACUUGUUCCUUUUCUAUCUGUCCUUCAUGUCAGAACGUCCAUCCUUGACCUGUGUUAUAGAGUCAAUAAGGGAGUUCCCGUUGUGGCUCAGUGGAAAUGCACCUGACUAGUAACCACGAGGAUGUGAACUAGCCUGGCCACUUCCAUAUGCUGUAAGUGGGGCCCUAACGAACAAACUAACUAACUAACUAAAAUUGAGUCAGUAAGAGAAAGUGCUCUGGGAUCAGACAAUCUUGGGUCAAAUAUGGGUUCUCCCACUUACUGGCUGUGUGAUCUUGGUGAGUUUGCUUAACCUGAGUCUCAGUUUAUACCUCUGUAAACAGAAUGAUCGUUCUCAUCAAACAGAACUAUUAUAAGGAUUAUAUGAAAUAAUAUUUGUAAAGCAAUUAUCUAACACUCACUGAUACUUUAUGACAUCAAAGUAUUAUUUUUUAAUAUCUGACCCAUGGACAGAUGAUUUUUGUACUGCUGCAAAAUAUAUCCCCGUUAUAACUAUUUGCCUUGGUAAGUGGAUCCUGGCACAGUCCCCUGCUUGAACAAACAUGACUUUGAACAAGACCUUCUUUAUCUGAUUACCAGAUUGUUUCUGAGUUUACGUCUAAGUGCCUUAAAUAUAAAAGUAACUGAUGCAACUUGACUGUACUGUAGUACUUUGUAUUUGCGCGCCGAAGCGAGCACUGUAAUAUACUAGUCUGGAUUCAGGUGUCAGUGUCAUGUUUGCAAUGUGGGACUACAAUUGUUUUAAAAUAAUCUCUGUUCUUAAAAGGUGGGUAGAUGUUUGGGGCCUGGGCAGCUCAGCCCUGGAAUGACUGGUUACUCCUGUCGUCAGUUGGUCCCAUAAAUAGAGCCCAAAGGCUAGCUCUCCAGGGUGGGGACACAGGACAGGAUGGACCCUUGGUCCAUCUGCUUCUGUUGUACUGACUGAGGCUGGCUCCUCAGACUCACCUUUCUCCACAAAACCUUGACAUCCCAGACAGCCUCCAUCUCCCUCUCCACUGGGCCGGGAGACAAAAUUGUGGUCCAUUAAAGCUGGUGUUUUUUUUUUAGACAAAGCUCUGCUCAUCUGGAGGGAAAAAUUCUCUGGCUCUGUUCCUGGAAUUACGUGGUCCGUCGUCCAUUGGACCAAGCCACGUUUUCUUUUUCCCCUGUUGUUCCUCUUCUACAUCACUCUUGGCUUUUCUGUUCUCCUGUAUUGCUUUUCUUUUUCUUUUUGUUUCGUUUUUUUUCUUUUCUUUUACUUUCUACCUUAUAAUUAGAUUGUUUUCAAAACAUCCACACACUGGCCAGGAGUUUCUUGAGCACACAGCCCUUAUCUUAUUAAUCUCUUUAGCUCCUGAAAGUGCCGAGUACAGAGUAGGCAUUUGUUUUGUUUUUUUAGGGCUGCACCUGCGGCCUAUGGAAAUUCCCAGGCUAGGGGUCAGGUUGGAGCUGCAGCUGCAGUCUUACACCACAGCCACAGCAACACCAGAUCCGAGUGUCAUCUGUGAUCUAUGCUGCAGCUUGCGGCCACACUGGAUCCUUCACCUACUAAACAAGGCCAAGGAUCAAACCUACAUCCUCAUGGGUACUAGUUGGGUUCUUAACCUGCUGAAGCAUAAUGGGAACUCUGCGAGCAGGCAUUUGUAAAUGGUAGUUGAGCUAAGUUGAGUCAUCAUUAUUUCUCAAAAAUCCUUUAGAAGCACUAGCUCCCAAAUCAGCUUGCUAUGCUCAAGACAAAAUUACUCUGUCAGAUGAUUGCCCUUUGUAUCUUGCAUUAUGUAAUAGAGGUAUUCCCUAUUGAUGGGUAGUCAGGUGAACUUUUGUAAAAUGAAUCCUUAUUCCAUGAACUUAUACUAUCUCCUGGGAGAUGCUAACACCCGUGGUUACUCUUUUUCUAUUUCCUUUUUUGGUCAUCUUUCCCCAUGUCUCUAUCCUUCCUAUCUUCCACUGUUUGAAAGUCAGUAUCACCCAACUGUGGUAUUUAUUGGUCAUCUAUAAGUUGUGAGAGUGUUUUCAGGUCAUUAAUUUACAGCACCUACUGCAAAUAUUUCAAUGCAGCGCACAAAUAUUAUUUAAGGGCAUCCUGUUGGAAAGCUAAGCAUCGCUCUUGAUCGACUUAAUAGUCGUUUGGCUUUGGUUUUGUCUGGGUUUUCUUUUUAAAAAAAUUUUGUUGAAGUAUAGUUGAUUUAUAAUGUGUUAAUUUCUUCUUAAUCGCAGAGCGAUUCAGUUAUACUCACAAAUUCUUUUUUAAAAUAAAUGUUAUUGGAGUAUAGUUGACUUAGAAAGUUGUCUUAGUUUCAGGCGUACAGCAGAGUAAAUCAGUUAUGCAUAUACCUAUAUCCAUUCUUUUUCAGAUUAUUUUCCCAUGUAGGUUAUUACACAGUAUUGAAAUUUCCCUGUGCUAUACAGUAGAUCCCUGUUAACCAUCUAUUUUAUAUAUAGUAGUGUGUAUAGUUGUACAUAUUUAUUCUUAUUUGUAUUCUUUUCCAUUAUGGCUCAUCAUAGGAUAGUGAAUGUAGUUCCCUGUGCUAUACAGCAGGACCUUGUUGUUUAUCCAUCCUGUAUAUAAUAGUUUGCAUCUGCUAAUCCCAAACUCCCAAUCCAUCCCUCCCUCCACUUGGCAACCACAGGUCUGUUCUCUACAUCUAUUUCUGUUUCGUAGAUAAACUCAUUUUAUUGGGUUUUUCUCUUUUUCCUUUUUGGCCACCCCUCGAUAUACGGAGUUCCCGGGCAUUUCCCCACCUUCAUUGAAAGUUGCUAAGGAGUUCUCUGGUGGCCUAGCACUUAGGAAUCCAGCAUUGUUACUGCACCUGCUUGGGUCACUGCUGUGCCACAGAUUCAAUCCCUGGCCCAAGAACUUCCGCAUGCCUCAGGCACAGUUUAAAAAAAAAAAACAAAACAAAAAAA